Molecule: ribosomal RNA, 368 nt
Filed under: uncultured bacterium
Lineage: Bacteria
Description: bacterial SSU rRNA
Rfam family: Bacterial small subunit ribosomal RNA
Source: RNAcentral
GAUGAACGCUAGCGGCAGGCUUAAUACAUGCAAGUCGAGGGGCAGCAUGACUGUAGCAAUACAGUUGAUGGCGACCGGCAAACGGGUGCGGAACACGUACGCAACCUACCCAAAACUGAGGAAUAGCCCGGGGAAACCCGGAUUAAUACUUCGUAACAUAAUUGAAUGGCAUCAUUUAAUUAUUAUAGCUCCGGCGGUUUUGGAUGGGCGUGCGCCUGAUUAGGUAGNGGUAGGGUAACGGCCUACCAAGCCAACGAUCAGUAACUGGUGUGAGAGCACGACCAGUCACACGGGCACUGAGACACGGGCCCGACUCCUACGGGAGGCAGCAGUAAGGAAUAUUGGUCAAUGGACGCAAAGUCUGAACC